Molecule: long non-coding RNA, 392 nt
Organism: Limulus polyphemus (Atlantic horseshoe crab)
Lineage: Eukaryota; Metazoa; Arthropoda; Merostomata; Xiphosura; Limulidae
Exons: 3
Source: RefSeq, a predicted model, not a curated record
UCUGAGUGGAUUUUGCAGUUACCGUUCGUGUGUAAAUGUUGGCCUGCUGCCAAGGCAAGUCGGGUUCAAAUUUCUCAGAAAGCCUAAUUUUAAAAUACAUAAACUUUAUCCUAUACUCGUACACAAAGAGGAAGACAGUACGACUAGGCGUGGUGCGAACAUAAAAUUAGUUACAGACUUGAACGCGACUCUAGGACAGAGCACCAUGUUUGCAAAGAGAGAAAGAACUCAGGACUGGUUGUUUGUGCCAGUAUGUAACAGCUUUCUCAAAUCUUGACACAAGAAUAUCACAAAGGAUAAGUCCUAUGAGAUGGGAAUUUCGCUUACAAUCGACAGCCAAAAAAAGAGGCCUACGACAAAGAAGCCCACUCAGUACCGACAUCUUUCUUCUU